UACGGAAGGCAGCAGUGGGGAAUAUUGCACAAUGGGCGCAAGCCUGAUGCAGCCAUGCCGCGUGUAUGAAAAAGGCCUUCGGGUUGUAAGUACUUUCUAGUCGUGAGGAAGGUGUUAAGGUUAAUAACCUUAGCAAUUGACGUUAGCGACAGAAGAAGCACCGGCUAACUCCGUGCCAGCAGCCGCGGUAAUACGGAGGGUGCGAGCGUUAAUCGGAAUUACUGGGCGUAAAGGGCACGCAGGCGGUUAAUUAAGUUGGAUGUGAAAUCCCCGGGCUUAACCUGGGAAUGGCAUUCAAGACUGGUUAGCUAGAGUCUUGUAGAGGGGGUAGAAUUCCAUGUGUAGCGGUGAAAUGCGUAGAGAUGUGGAGGAAUACCGGUGGCGAAGGCGGCCCCCUGGACAAACGACUGACGCUCAUGUGCGAAAGCUGGGGAGCAAACAGGGAUUAGAUA
This 452-nucleotide ribosomal RNA is filed under the name uncultured bacterium. RNAcentral's name for it is "bacterial SSU rRNA". It matches the Rfam family "Bacterial small subunit ribosomal RNA", at positions 340 to 784 of the family's 1533-position model. The record is from RNAcentral.